Molecule: long non-coding RNA, 297 nt
Organism: Oreochromis niloticus (Nile tilapia)
Lineage: Eukaryota; Metazoa; Chordata; Actinopteri; Cichliformes; Cichlidae
Exons: 2
Source: RefSeq, a predicted model, not a curated record
UAUUUGGAGGCAAUGACGUCACAGCGACGCGACGAGGACUGUCCGAAUUCAAAGAGCACUCAAAAUGUGGCGACAAAUGCGUCCUACUUUGCCCUGAAUUCUAAGGAUGGUCCGAUGUAUCCAUCAUGUCCUACUAUAUCCCAGGAUUCAUUGCGGGCCACCUGCCGCAUAAAUUCCGAACCAGUAGAAGGAUUUUGGAGCGGAACAAUGGCGGGCGAACCGGGCGUGACAGUGGGAGAGGAAUCCGCAUUCAAAUGAAACAAAGAGCAAACAACUCUCCUCAUCAGAUUGCGAGGC